AGAGUUUGAUCCUGGCUCAGCCUGAACGCUGGCGGCGUGGCUAAGACAUGCAAGUCGCACGGGCGUAGCAAUACGCCAGUGGCGCACGGGUGAGUAAUGUAUCGCUAAUGUACCCUUGGACCUGGGAUAGCCAUCCGAAAGGGUGGGUAAUACCAGAUGAAAUAUCCUGGAGGCAUCUUCGGGAUCUCAAAGCAGCAAUG
Molecule: ribosomal RNA, 200 nt
Filed under: uncultured bacterium
Lineage: Bacteria
Description: partial 16S ribosomal RNA
Rfam family: Bacterial small subunit ribosomal RNA
Source: RNAcentral